CGAUAGUGAACCAGUACCGUGAGGGAAAGGCGAAAAGAACCCCGGCGAGGGGAGUGAAAAAGAACCUGAAACCGUGUACGUACAAGCAGUGGGAGCACCUUCGUGGUGUGACUGCGUACCUUUUGUAUAAUGGGUCAGCGACUUAUAUUCUGUAGCAAGGUUAACCGUAUAGGGGAGCCGUAGGGAAACCGAGUCUUAACUGGGCGUUAAGUUGCAGGGUAUAGACCCGAAACCCGGUGAUCUAGCCAUGGGCAGGUUGAAGGUUGGGUAACACUAACUG
RNAcentral lists this ribosomal RNA (280 nucleotides) under Leclercia barmai. RNAcentral describes it as "partial 23S ribosomal RNA". It matches the Rfam family "Bacterial large subunit ribosomal RNA", at positions 485 to 768 of the family's 2925-position model. RNAcentral also lists the same sequence under 1 other name. Lineage: Bacteria; Pseudomonadati; Pseudomonadota; Gammaproteobacteria; Enterobacterales; Enterobacteriaceae. The record is from RNAcentral.